CAGCCGCCACGGGAAUACGAAGGGUGCAAGCGUUACUCGGAAUUACUGGGCGUAAAGCGUGCGUAGGUGGUGGUUCAAGUCAGUUGUGAAAUCCCUGGGCUCAACCUGGGAACUGCUUCUGAGACUGAACGACUAGAGUACGGUAGAGGGUGGUGGAAUUUCCGGUGUAGCGGUGAAAUGCGUAGAUAUCGGAAGGAACAUCAAUGGCGAAGGCAGCCACCUGGGCCUGUACUGACACUGAGACACGAAAGCGUGGGGAUCAAACAGGAUUAGAUACCCGCGUAGUCCCUGUCUCUUAUAC
RNAcentral lists this ribosomal RNA (301 nucleotides) under uncultured bacterium. Its description in RNAcentral is "partial 16S ribosomal RNA". It matches the Rfam family "Bacterial small subunit ribosomal RNA", at positions 509 to 807 of the family's 1533-position model. The record is from RNAcentral.